Molecule: ribosomal RNA, 429 nt
Filed under: Bacteroidota bacterium
Lineage: Bacteria; Pseudomonadati; Bacteroidota
Description: Bacteroidetes bacterium partial 16S ribosomal RNA
Rfam family: Bacterial small subunit ribosomal RNA
Source: RNAcentral
UAGGGAAUCUUCCGCAAUGGACGCAAGUCUGACCGAGCAACGCCGCGUGAGUGAAGAAGGUUUUCGGAUCGUAAAGCUCUGUUGUUAAGGAAGAACGAGUGUGAGAAUGGAAAGUUCAUGCUGUGACGGUACUUAACCAGAAAGGGACGGCUAACUACGUGCCAGCAGCCGCGGUAAUACGUAGGUCCCGAGCGUUGUCCGGAUUUAUUGGGCGUAAAGCGAGCGCAGGCGGUUAGAUAAGUCUGAAGUUAAAGGCAGUGGCUCAACCAUUGUAGGCUUUGGAAACUGUUUAACUUGAGUGCAGAAGGGGAGAGUGGAAUUCCAGGUGUAGCGGUGAAAUGCGUAGAUAGAUGGAGGAACACCGGUGGCGAAAGCGGCUCUCUGGUCUGUAACUGACGCUGAGGCUCGAAAGCGUGGGGAGCGAACAGG